UGCCUUUGUGUUGCCCAUUCAUUUCCAUCCAGAAUGAAUGUGGUGUCAAAAAAGGCAAACAGAAAUACUUGCUCAGACAGCUUCUUAAGGAGCUGGUUAUUUACCUUUCUCCUCCCUGUUUCUGCAAGAACAAAA
Molecule: small nucleolar RNA, 135 nt
Organism: Strix occidentalis caurina (northern spotted owl)
Lineage: Eukaryota; Metazoa; Chordata; Aves; Strigiformes; Strigidae
Source: Ensembl